UACGAAGGGGGCUAGCGUUGUUCGGAAUCACUGGGCGUAAAGCGCACGUAGGCGGAUUGUUAAGUCGGGGGUGAAAUCCUGGAGCUCAACUCCAGAACUGCCUUCGAUACUGGCGAUCUCGAGUUCGGGAGAGGUGAGUGGAACCGCGAGUGUAGAGGUGAAAUUCGUAGAUAUUCGCAAGAACACCAGUGGCGAAGGCGGCUCACUGGCCCGAUACUGACGCUGAGGUGCGAAAGCGUGGGGAGCAAACAGG
This 253-nucleotide ribosomal RNA is filed under the name uncultured bacterium. RNAcentral's name for it is "partial 16S ribosomal RNA". It matches the Rfam family "Bacterial small subunit ribosomal RNA", at positions 524 to 776 of the family's 1533-position model. The record is from RNAcentral.